AAGCUUCAGUAUGAAAGUGGUUGUAAGCACGUGCAUAAAUCGGAUUAUGCGCAAUGCAAAGAUUUUUAUAUCUGGUACAUAUAUGAAAGUAUUGUGACUCCAUUCACUUUGCCCGUCAACCUUACUGUUCUUUAUAAGGGAGAAAAGAACGAAACAUUGCCAUCUGACCUGAAUGAUGCCACCCAUGUAUAUUGGAACCCCGAAAACCUGACGACCCCAAUUGUUUAUACUCAAGAAUAUUACGAAGAGAAGUGCAAUUUCACUGUCCCUGUUACCUUCAAUGGCUGGUUCACAUAUGAAGUCAAAGAGUCAGUGGGAGACAACCCUCAUAAGGACGCUCUGGGAAUAGGAAAUAUCGUGGAUAGUAGUAAAAAACUUACCGCAAGCGAUAGCUUAACGGUGCUUUACAACGUGAGUGGUGUAUUUCAACAUACAGUCAUUUGCACAUCUUAAAAAACGACAUAACGUCGAGGGAUUUCAUAAUAAUUACAAAUCUUUGGACAAGCCUGGGACAUUGUUUUGUGGACAUAUGACAGAAUGAAAUUUCAGAGGUCGCA
Long non-coding RNA from Dermacentor silvarum, 557 nucleotides. RefSeq lists it as uncharacterized. The record is from RefSeq and is a predicted model, not a curated record. The transcript has 2 exons. Lineage: Eukaryota; Metazoa; Arthropoda; Arachnida; Ixodida; Ixodidae.